Molecule: ribosomal RNA, 164 nt
Filed under: Brevundimonas sp.
Lineage: Bacteria; Pseudomonadati; Pseudomonadota; Alphaproteobacteria; Caulobacterales; Caulobacteraceae
Description: partial 23S ribosomal RNA
Rfam family: Bacterial large subunit ribosomal RNA
Source: RNAcentral
AUGGAAUAGAUAACCGCUGAAAGCAUCUAAGCGGGAAACUAACCUCAAAACAAGGCUUCGCUGAGGAUCGUGGAAGACUACCACGUUGAUAGGCCAGGUGUGGAAGUGGGGCGACCCAUGAAGCUUACUGGUACUAAUAAUCCGAUCGGCUUGAUCGUUUCUCA